CCUACGGGUGACAGCAGUGAGGAAUAUUGGUCAAUGGGCGAGAGCCUGAACCAGCCAAGUCGCGUGCAGGAUGAAGGAUCUAUGGUUUGUAAACUUCUUUUAUAUGAGAAUAAAGUGAGAAACGUGUUCCUUUUUGUAUGUACCAUAUGAAUAAGCAUCGGCUAACUCCGUGCCAGCAGCCGCGGUAAUACGGAGGAUGCGAGCGUUAUCCGGAUUUAUUGGGUUUAAAGGGUGCGUAGGCGGUUAAUUAAGUCAGAGGUGAAAGUUUGUGGCUCAACCAUAGAAUUGCCGUUGAAACUGGUUGACUUGAGAAUAUUUGAGGUAGGCGGAAUGCGUGGUGUAGCGGUGAAAUGCAUAGAGAUCACGCAGAACUCCGAUUGCGAAGGCAGCUUACUAAACUAUAACUGACACUGAGGCACGAAAGCGUGGGGAGCAAACAGGAUUAGAUACCCGUGUAGUC
RNAcentral lists this ribosomal RNA (460 nucleotides) under uncultured bacterium. RNAcentral's name for it is "partial 16S ribosomal RNA". It matches the Rfam family "Bacterial small subunit ribosomal RNA", at positions 338 to 795 of the family's 1533-position model. The record is from RNAcentral.